AAACCUUCAAGCUCUGCUUGGUGUUGGGUGUUUGUUCCGCCUUAGCGCGUGGACUCGCCUUAAAUUCAUUGGCAGCCGGUAUAUUGGCUUCAUGCGCAGCACAUUGCGUCAUGAUGUUAGCGUACCCCCCUUCCAUUAAGCUUUUUUCUUA
RNAcentral lists this unclassified non-coding RNA (151 nucleotides) under uncultured Ascomycota. RNAcentral's name for it is "sequence contains ITS2". The record is from RNAcentral. Lineage: Eukaryota; Fungi; Ascomycota.